GACGAACGCUGGCGGCGUGCUUAACACAUGCAAGCCGAGCGGUAAGGCCCUUUCGGGGGUACACGAGCGGCGAACGGGUGAGUAACACGUGGGUGACCUGCCCUCAGCUCUGGGAUAAGCCUGGGAAACCGGGUCUAAUACUGGAUAUGACUCCAUGACGCAUGUUGUGGGGUGGAAAGCCUUGUGCGGCUGAGGAUGGGCCCGCGGCCUAUCAGCUUGUUGGUGGGGUGAUGGCCUACCAAGGCGACGACGGGUAGCCGGCCUGAGAGGGCGACCGGCCACACUGGGACUGAGACACGGCCCAGACUCCUACGGGAGGCAGCAGUGGGGAAUCUUGCGCAAUGGGCGAAAGCCUGACGCAGCGACGCCGCGUGGGGAUGACGGCCUCGG
This 390-nucleotide ribosomal RNA is filed under the name uncultured bacterium. RNAcentral describes it as "bacterial SSU rRNA". It matches the Rfam family "Bacterial small subunit ribosomal RNA", at positions 28 to 420 of the family's 1533-position model. The record is from RNAcentral.